Mesocricetus auratus (golden hamster) is the source of this 595-nucleotide long non-coding RNA. RefSeq lists it as uncharacterized. Lineage: Eukaryota; Metazoa; Chordata; Mammalia; Rodentia; Cricetidae. The record is from RefSeq and is a predicted model, not a curated record. The transcript is spliced from 3 exons.
CGAGAUGUAACGCCAUUGGGGUAGGAAGCCCGGAAACCUCUCCGGGAGAGUGAAAUUUCACAGAUCAGCCCUGUUUGACUGGCAUAAAUUCUAAAAGAUUGGCAGGGGCAGGGAUGAGGUCUGCAGAGCCUCCCUCAUCACGAGGAGGAAGAGCUGACACCGGUUCUGAGACUUGCUGAUGCCCGGGCUGUCAGCCAUGUGACGGAACAGGAGGAUGGAUGGCAUUGUUCAGGCCGGAGGAUGGCAGCUGCCCUGUGCCACACCCCAGCAGCACAAAGCCAUCUGGUCGUGACCUGGAAGGCGCAGAAGAAAUCUGCCACCAAACUGCAGAAUGUAUGACACACGGGGCAUCCCUUGGAGCCUUUUUGUACCCAGAGUGUCCUCUGGGACCUCGUCCCCAACACACACCCUUUGGUCACUGUGGAGAGUGAUCUACACGUGCCACAGUCUUCAGCUUCUGAGAACUAUGGAGAGUGAUCUAUACAUGCAACAGUCUUCAGCUUCUGAGAACUUCCGCCCUACGGACUCAGUUUGGGUUAGGCAGCCCAAAAAUAAAUAAAUAAAAUAAUAGUAGCAGGUUCUAUGACUAACUAAA